GAGGUAACGGCUCACCAAGGCAACGAUGCUUAGCUGGUCUGAGAGGACGAUCAGCCACACUGGGACUGAGACACGGCCCAGAUUCCUGCGGGAGGCAGCAGUGGGGAAUCUUGCGCAAUGGGCGAAAGCCUGACGCAGCAACGCCGCGUGAGCGAAGAAGGCCUUCGGGUUGUAAAGCUCUGUCCGGAGGGACGAAGCCACUCGGGUUAAUAGCCCAGAGGGUGACGGUACCUCCAGAGGAAGGUCCGGCUAACUACGUGCCAGCAGCCGCGGUAAUACGUAGGGACCUAGCGUUGUCCGGAAUUAUUGGGCGUAAAGAGCGUGUAGGCGGCUUGCCAAGUCCGAUGUGAAAACUCGGGGCUUAACCCCGAGCGUGCAUUGGAAACUGACAGGCUUGAGUCCGGAAGAGGGGACUGGAAUUCCUGGUGUAGCGGUGAAAUGCGCAGAUAUCAGGAAGAACACCCGUGGCGAAGGCGGGUCCCUGGGACGGUACUGACGCUGAGACGCGAAAGCGUGGGGAGCGAACAGGAUUAGAUACCCUGGUAGUCCACGCCGUAAACGAUGGGCACUAGGUGUGGGAGGUGUCGACUCCUCCCGUGCCGUAGCUAACGCAUUAAGUGCCCCGCCUGGGGAGUACGGCCGCAAGGCUAAA
This 652-nucleotide ribosomal RNA is filed under the name uncultured bacterium. RNAcentral's name for it is "bacterial SSU rRNA". It matches the Rfam family "Bacterial small subunit ribosomal RNA", at positions 254 to 898 of the family's 1533-position model. The record is from RNAcentral.